RNAcentral lists this non-coding RNA (108 nucleotides) under Oceanithermus profundus. RNAcentral describes it as "SAM-I sequence". It matches the Rfam family "SAM riboswitch aptamer (S box leader)". From Rfam's summary of the family: The SAM riboswitch is found upstream of a number of genes which code for proteins involved in methionine or cysteine biosynthesis in Gram-positive bacteria. The SAM riboswitch acts at the level of transcription termination control. RNAcentral also lists the same sequence under 1 other name. The record is from RNAcentral. Lineage: Bacteria; Thermotogati; Deinococcota; Deinococci; Thermales; Thermaceae.
CUCUUAUCCAGAGCGGUGGAGGGACCGGCCCUGUGAAACCGCGGCAACCGGUGGGGAAACCCACGCCUUGGUGCCAAUUCCGGCCCGCGCGAGCGGGAAAGAUAAGGG